GACGAACGCUGGCGGCGUGCUUAACACAUGCAAGUCGAACGGAAAGGCCCUGCUUUUGUGGGGUGCUCGAGUGGCGAACGGGUGAGUAACACGUGAGUAACCUGCCCUUGACUUUGGGAUAACUUCAGGAAACUGGGGCUAAUACCGGAUAGGAGCUCCUGCUGCAUGGUGGGGGUUGGAAAGUUUCGGCGGUUGGGGAUGGACUCGCGGCUUAUCAGCUUGUUGGUGGGGUAGUGGCUUACCAAGGCUUUGACGGGUAGCCGGCCUGAGAGGGUGACCGGCCACAUUGGGACUGAGAUACGGCCCAGACUGAUACGGGAGGCAGGAGUGGGGAAGAGUGCACAAUGGGCGGAAGCGGGAUGGAGCAACGCCGCGUGCGGGAUGACGGCCAGCGGGUUGUAAACCGCUUUCGCCUGUGACGAAGAGUGAGUGACGGUAAUGGGUAAAGAAGCACCGGCUAACUACGUG
Molecule: ribosomal RNA, 468 nt
Filed under: uncultured bacterium
Lineage: Bacteria
Description: partial 16S ribosomal RNA
Rfam family: Bacterial small subunit ribosomal RNA
Source: RNAcentral